This 706-nucleotide ribosomal RNA is filed under the name uncultured bacterium. Its description in RNAcentral is "bacterial SSU rRNA". It matches the Rfam family "Bacterial small subunit ribosomal RNA", at positions 33 to 771 of the family's 1533-position model. The record is from RNAcentral.
ACGCUGGCGGCGUGCCUAACACAUGCAAGUCGAACGAGAAAGUGGAGCAAUCCAUGAGUAAAGUGGCGCACGGGUGAGUAACACGUGACUAACCUACCCUGGAGUGGGGGAUAACUGAGGGAAACCUUAGCUAAUACCGCAUAACACCUACGGGUCAAAGGAGCAAUUCGCUUUGGGAGGGGGUCGCGGCCGAUUAGUUAGUUGGCGGGGUAAUGGCCCACCAAGACUGUGAUCGGUAUCCGGCCUGAGAGGGCGCACGGACACACUGGAACUGAAACACGGUCCAGACUCCUACGGGAGGCAGCAGUGGGGAAUUUUGCGCAAUGGGGGAAACCCUGACGCAGCAACGCCGCGUGGAGGAUGAAGUCCUUCGGGACGUAAACUCCUUUCGAUCGGGACGAUAAUGACGGUACCGGAAGAAGAAGCCCCGGCUAACUUCGUGCCAGCAGCCGCGGUAAUACGAGGGGGGCGAGCGUUGUUCGGAAUUAUUGGGCGUAAAGGGUGCGUAGGCGGUUUGGUAAGUCUUGUGUGAAAUCUCCGGGCUCAACUCGGAGCCUGCACGAGAAACUGCCGGGCUUGAGUGUGGGAGAGGUGAGUGGAAUUUCCGGUGUAGCGGUGAAAUGCGUAGAUAUCGGAAGGAACACCUGUGGCGAAAGCGGCUCACUGGACCACAACUGACGCUGAUGCACGAAAGCUAGGGGAGCAA